AGCAGCCGCGGUAAUUCCAGCUCCAAUAGCGUAUAUUAAAGUUGUUGCAGUUAAAAAGCUCGUAGUUGAAUUUCGGGGUCAGUAGGUCGGUCGUGCCACAGGUAUGCACUGGUCUCACUGAUUCCUCCUUCCUGAUGAACCGUAAUGCCAUUAAUUUGGUGUUGCGGGGAGACUGGACUGUUACUUUGAAAAAUUAGAGUGUUUAAAGCAGGCUAACGCUUGAAUACAUUAGCAUGGAAUAACGGAAUAGGACGUUCGAUCUUAUUUUGUUGGUUUCUAAGAUUGACGUAAUGAUUAAUAGGGAUAGUUGGGGGCAUUAGUAUUCAAUUGUCAGAGGUGAAAUUCUUGGAUUUAUUGAAGACUAACUACUGCGAAAGCAUUUGCCAAGGAUGUUUUCAUUAAUCAAGAACGAAAGUUAGGGGAUCGAAGACGGUCAGAUACCGUCGUAGUCUUAACCAUAAACUAUGCCGACUAGGGAUCGGAUGAUGUUAAUUUUUAAUGACUCAUUCGGCGCCUUAAC
RNAcentral lists this small RNA (520 nucleotides) under uncultured Glomus. Its description in RNAcentral is "SSU rRNA". It matches the Rfam family "Eukaryotic small subunit ribosomal RNA", at positions 569 to 1092 of the family's 1831-position model. Lineage: Eukaryota; Fungi; Glomeromycota; Glomeromycetes; Glomerales; Glomeraceae. The record is from RNAcentral.